UACGUAGGGUGCGAGCGUUUAAUCGGAAUUACUGGGCGUAAAGCGUGCGCAGGCGGUUUUGUAAGACAGGCGUGAAAUCCCCGGGCUCAACCUGGGAAUGGCGCUUGUGACUGCAAAGCUGGAGUGCGGCAGAGGGGGAUGGAAUUCCGCGUGUAGCAGUGAAAUGCGUAGAUAUGCGGAGGAACACCGAUGGCGAAGGCAAUCCCCUGGGCCUGCACUGACGCUCAUGCACGAAAGCGUGGGGAGCAAACAGGAUUAGA
RNAcentral lists this ribosomal RNA (260 nucleotides) under uncultured bacterium. RNAcentral's name for it is "partial 16S ribosomal RNA". It matches the Rfam family "Bacterial small subunit ribosomal RNA", at positions 524 to 782 of the family's 1533-position model. The record is from RNAcentral.